AACGAACGCUGGCGGUAUGCUUUACACAUGCAAGUCGAACGGGCAAGAGCCGUAGCAAUACGGAGUUCUGCUAGUGGCAAACGGGUGAGUAACGCGGGGGAAACUACCUUAUAGUACGGAAUAGCCCCGGGAAACUGGGAUUAAUACCGGAUACGCUCUUCGGAGGAAAGAUUUAUCGCUAUAAGAUGUGCCCGCGUUAGAUUAGCUUGUUGGUGGGGUAAUGGCUCACCAGGCGACGAUCUAUAGCUGGUUUGAGAGGAUGAUCAGCCACACUGGAACUGAGACACGGUCCAGACUUCUACGGGAGGCAGCAGUGGGGAAUAUUGGACAAUGGGCGAAAGCCUGAUCCAGCAAUACCGCGUGAGUGAUGAAGGCCUUAGGGUUGUAAAACUCUUUCAGUGGGGAAGAUAAUGACGGUACCCACAGAAGAAGCACCGGCUAACUCCGUGCCAGCCGCCGCAGUAA
Molecule: ribosomal RNA, 465 nt
Filed under: uncultured bacterium
Lineage: Bacteria
Description: partial 16S ribosomal RNA
Rfam family: Bacterial small subunit ribosomal RNA
Source: RNAcentral